AACGCACGAGACCUGCGGACCUGCGGAGGGAUCAUUACCGAGUGAGGGCCCUCUGGGUCCAACCUCCCACCCGUGUUUAUCGUACCUUGUUGCUUCGGCGGGCCCGCCGCAAGGCCGCCGGGGGGCUUCCGUCCCCGGGUCCGCGCCCGCCGAAGACACCUGUGAACGCUGUAUGAAGAUUGCAGUCUGAGCGAAAAGCUAAAUCGUUAAAACUUUCAGCAAUGGAUCUCUAGAUCGGAA
This 240-nucleotide unclassified non-coding RNA is filed under the name soil metagenome. RNAcentral describes it as "partial contains 5.8S ribosomal RNA, internal transcribed spacer 2, and large subunit ribosomal RNA". The record is from RNAcentral.